CUCUCACCCUUUCGUUGCGUCCUUCUCAUUCUCUUGAAACUUGCAGAGACUACUCAGUCUCUAUUGCUACUCCUAAACCUUCCCCAAUUCACUCCCUAAUUCAAAUUUCAAAUCCCAACUCAUUCCCUCCAAUCUAACAUUUCGAAAAUCAAAAACCACUUUCUCUGCGACAAGGCUGCCUCAAAGCCUUGUUAUUUGCUCUGCUGAGAGAGCUUCUCUAGCCAAGGCUUUGCUUUGAUUCUUGGCUUGCCUGGUAUCCACCUUGGCCCUGCUUGUUUUGAUGCUCUUAGUGCAAAGCUCAUGGAGAGAACAGGCUUUGAUUAUUGCUUCACUACUGGAUGAUAGUUAUGAACUUGCCAAUGAACAUUUAGGUUAGCUGUGUGAAGGAGCUCAGCCUCUAAGCUAUUAUACCAAGAUUGUGCCAAAAGGAAGACCUUGCAAAGCAUUAUGUCAGAAGUGUUAUGAAGAUUCUUCAUUAUCCUGUAAUUUUAAAGAUGAUCUUAAGAGAUCUCGUUCCAUCAUAACCUUCCAAGACUGGAACUAUAAAUUUUGGAAGGAGUGGUUCCUUUAUUUGCCAACGUAUUGUCCUGCAUUGCCUCUUUAAUUGUUAGGGUCGUUUGCUUGUGACUUUGGUUGAAAAUGCCUCAGUUGAAGAGACGAGGUAUGCAUCUUACCUUGUAAGUUGUUCGUCUUGGCUUCCAAGGUUCUAAGUUGUUG
RNAcentral lists this unclassified non-coding RNA (717 nucleotides) under Hevea brasiliensis (rubber tree). The record is from RNAcentral. Lineage: Eukaryota; Viridiplantae; Streptophyta; Magnoliopsida; Malpighiales; Euphorbiaceae.